ACUUGUGCUCUUCCGAUCUGUUUCAUCUAGUAAACUGAAAAUUAUUGCUUAAUCAAACUGCCGUUUGUCUUUUAUAUUUAAGGCCUUUACCCCUCCCUUCUGAGUUUUACCUUUAACUUAGUAAUUUCAAAUGUGACCUUUUAUAUCUAAGACCAGUGUAGUAAACUUAGCCUACAGUGGCAAAUCAUGAGUAAUAUCAUUGUAAUAUGUUCCAGUUGCACAUCAGUAUGUUAAACAGGUAAUGUAAGAAGUUUUUUGAAAUGUCAGCUAUUAAGUUCUGAAACAUACAUCAUGCAUGAGUAGGGAUAAAGCUCAAGUUCCUUAUUACAUAGCCAACUUACACUGCAUAAAGAUACGAAAGUGUAACCCGUCAAGAACACAGGUUUUUUUUCACUGCAAAGUUAGCAACUUUGCUGUUUUCCCUCUUUUUUAACUAAAAGUAGACUUUUUCCAGAAAGUGGAGCAAUAAUGGUGUAUGCCACACACACAUGAGAUCUCUGUAGAUAUCUUACGUGACUUUGGGGCAAAACUGGAAUAUAUACUUUACCACGUUUCAAAUAUCUAAGACCAAUAGUUAAAAAAAUUAUUAGAAUGUUUACUUUGUCCAUUAAUAAAGCAUCUAACAAUUCAAAUUAAAUACACCUUCUACCUAGUUGGAAAAACACGUUCCUGUUUUCACGUUAGAGCAAGUGAUUAAGCUGAAGAUAGAAGUCUUUUUUUAUAGAUGAGUGAUCCACAUCUCCAUUAAUUAGAACACUGGAAAAGAUGUUUUAUGAAAAAAGUAUUUAAUUCUGUUUGUAGGAUUAACUCAUACAAAGAGUAAGUCAGAUAUCCUGUUGGUUCAUUAAUACACUAUCUCCUUUAAGGAAGGAAAUGUGAUGAAUGAAUUAUGUGUAGACUUGAGGAAUGACAAAGGGGAAGUAGGAUGAAGAAAACGAACCUACAGAUGACAAUGAAUGUAAACUUAUUUUUCUUCAAGGGUAAGCAUUGUGCUCACUGGUGAUAUCCAGGUCCUAGCAAGAUUACUUGCUUAGCUUGUUAGGACCGGUAACUAGGUUAUUGAGACCACUAUGAUUGAUACUUUGAACCAAAUGUUAAUGCUUGAUACAGAAUUGUGAGCAGCAUCUGGUUCUCAUAUAGCCUUAAGGAUUAAUUUUAGAGAUCCUCAAGGAAUUAAACAUAGGGAAUUUAAGAAAUGUAGACUGCAAAGGCAGUAUACAGGAGAAGGUAGAGUGGGUUUUGUUCAUGAGGGUGUCUGAAAACUAAAAUGGAGCGGGAUAUCAUGGUACAUAGUUGGACAGUAUUGGUCCUUCGUGCUUUGGCCAUAUUGUAUAACGGAGCUUUUACCAAAGAUGUAUGAGAAGCAUAAGGCUAUAAAAAGUUAACUAUUCAAAGUAAAACUCUUGACAAACAUUUUACUUAAAGCAGAUGAGAAAAGGUGCUAUGUUGUAGGCUCCUGAUGGUGCAGAGGGAUUUUUGAAUUCAAAAUGCAACUAAGGUACAGAGUUCUCAGUUUUGCUUUAGAAAGAUCUCUAGAAAUCAAGCUGACAGACACAUCCGAGAACAUUUUAGUUGCUUUUAAAAUUCCCAAAGCUCCACCAUAAAUUUAAUUCUUAAGUGUUUUAAGUGAUUGCAUUUUAAGGUAUAUAAACAUGGGUUAUACAAAUAUCAAUGCUAUAGUAACAUCCUUAGACAAGACAAGCACAAAGGUAUAAAUGCCUAAACUGGAGGAAACUUGAAACCUUCAUCUUAAUUCUUAAAUGUAGUAUUUCUAACUUGUGACAGACAGAUUGAUAGGCAGCCAUUUUUUUUGUGUUUUAAAAUACCUGGGAGCAUAGUUAAAAUUUUAUACAUCAAGUGAUUGCUAUUGAAUGUUGCAGGUGAGAUGUGGUGGUUAUUUUUAGUUUAUUUGAACUGUCUAACUGAAGGGGGGAGGGGGGAAGCAAAUAUUUGAAAUUUGGAAAACCCUAAACUUUUUGGUAAGAACUUGUAAUUUUCAUUUACAUUUUCUUGAAGGAUAUAAAAGGUGGAUAAUUGAUGUAGUUAAAUUGAACCAUAACUAUUGGUAAUCACGGGGCAGGUAAUUAUAGCCUGCAGAAAAAAGUUACAAUCUAGAAUUUAAAAAAGAUCCUGAAGUUUUUGUUUAAUUGCAUCAAUUUCUGUAUUUAUGUGAAUUUAUAAACUGCAGUAAGUUUUUGAAUGAGGUUAAUCUUGUCUAAUAUAAGUAAAUGAGUCUGUAGACUGUGAUCUCCCCAAACUAAAAAGUACAGUACUUGGAAUUGUGUUCUUUAUGGUUGUAGUGUUGGUAAAGCACUAAUAUGCAGAAAAUAAAGGAAUUACACAGUGCA
Long non-coding RNA from Felis catus (domestic cat), 2348 nucleotides. RefSeq lists it as uncharacterized. The record is from RefSeq and is a predicted model, not a curated record. The transcript has 3 exons. NCBI's taxonomy places the organism in Eukaryota, Metazoa, Chordata, Mammalia, Carnivora, Felidae.